GGGCACUGGACCAAAAGCUGUGAAGCCUGGGUCCUAGAUCAGCUGAGUGACCUUGGCGAAGUCCUUUUCUCCCUCCUGCCGGCCUCCCGCACGGGAUCCCGCACAAGCUUAAUGAAGGAAAAGCUGCAGAUAGCAUGAAAGACUGGGUCUCAGUAUGUAGGUCAGGCUGGGUUCCAACUUGUGGCGAUCCUCUUGCCUCAGCCUCCUGUGCGCUGGGGUUACAGUCAUGAACCACCACUUCCAGCUCACAAAGAAAAAAAGAAAAGAAAAUAAGAAGAAGAAGAAGUAAAAACUAAUGAACAUCUCUAAGCUCACGAUCUCUGAGGCCCAGGAACGUUGGAACAGGUUAGCUGGUGCGUGGAGGUGUCCCCGGGAGCGGCAGACAUUUGCGGGCUUGACUGAGGCUGGAGAUCUGUUACCAGGUGGUUCAUUCACAUGACUGAGAGGAAGCCUCGGUCCUGGGGUGCUGCGGAGACUUCGUGCCUCACAGCCCGCGCCUACCCAUGGGGCUGCCGCAGCGCCGGCUUGCACAACCAAUAGGACGAGAACCUAGAAGGAACCGCGCAGCCUUUUGUGACCUACGUCCGGAAGUCACAAUCGCCUCUGCCACAUUCUAUCCACCAGCGGCACAGGCUGGUCGGAAGACUUGAGCGCCGCCUCUGAAGAGGGGUGGCCGAUUGCACAGCCGCCACCAGGGGUCACUUCCUCCUGUGCUGAGUGCACGCACUCCGAGCCAGCCAGCAUCCUCAAAUGCCUCCUGCGGCUGAUGAAAGGAAGGGAAUUUUCUGUUCAGCAUUCAGAGGAAAGAAAAAGAAAUGUAGAUAAUCUUGGGAAAUCGUCAAUAGUAACAGAUUUGCCAUAAAUAAAAUGUUACAGAACACACUUACAGAUGCCAGCUCACAAGUGGCUCCUCCAGAUACGCCCAGGGCUGUGUUCAGAUAGUUUUGGUUGUGUGUGUUACUGGGAUUGAACCCAGGGCCUUCCCCAGCUCUUUUUAUUUUUUAUCUCAGACGGAGUCUCACUAAAUUGCUACAUUGUCCAGGGCUCAAAUGUUUGAUCUUCCUGCCUCAAUUUCCCAGAGCGCUGGGAUUAUUAUAUGUAUGCCCCACCACGCCCAGUUCAUUUUCCUUUCUUUUUUGGAGGCAGAGUAUCGCUAUGCAGUCCAGGCUGGCCUUCAAUUCAUGGAUUCCCCUGCCUCAGCAUCCUGAGUGCUGGCAUCACGCUAUGAGUUGUAUUUUGUAGUAACCCACUGAUUGACUGCUAAAGGCAGGAUUUGUAAGGAAAACAAUUUAAUACAGGACACAUAGUUUAUAGGAUUAUUUUAUAGUAGUCACCCAAAGAGUCAAAUACAAAAGAGUGCAAGACAUUUAUUCUCAGACUAGAAAAAUCAAAGAAUCCAGGUGAGGUCUGGAUCCCACAGCUGUGUCCUGCAUGAGUCUAGCUAGAACCCUAGAGCCAUGACCAUGCCUCCAAUGAGUCCAGCUGAAGACCUAAAGCCCACGACAAUGUCUCCUGCACACCUGUUUCAAGGAUCUGCACUGGGAAGGCGCCCAGGCCAGUGGUGUAAGCUAGAAGUCUACACUAGAGCUAGGAAGCAAGGCUCAAAGUAAGGACCAGGGAUCUCCCCGAAAAGUACCACAGUCAUCUUCUGUGGAGCUCCUCUGACAAUGAGAAUAGUCAAGCUCCUACCAGGAAGCCAGUGCAACAAGCUUUUCCAGGAGGACUGACAGCACCACCUCUCCCUCUCCAGUUCUCCUUUUUAUGCUGUUGGCAACAAUCCUCAGGUGGGCCUUCCACACCCAGCACCACACUAAUUCAGUUCAGCUGGGUGUAACAAGCUGCUGCCAGUCCAGCAUGACUAUGCCACUUUUUUUUUUUUCUCUUUGUAAGACAGGGUUUCACUAUGCAGUUCAGGCUGACCUAGAGUUCACUUUGUAGCCCAAGCUGGUCUUGAAUUUGCAAUGAUCCUCCUGCCUCAGCCUCCUCAAUGCUGAGAUUACUGUUGUGGGCCACCAUGCCUGGCUUAUACCACAUUUUUAAAGAAAAAAAAAUUUUUUUUGUACCAGGAAUGUAACUCAGGACUUUGUGCUUGCCAGGUAAGUGCUUAUGCCACUGAGCUACAUUCCCAGCCCAUUUAUUGAUGUAUUGAUCCUUUCAGUUUUUUUUUUUAAACAGACAGCACUGGGAUCUAACCCUGGGUAUGGAGCAUGCUAGGCAGGUGCUUUACCACUGAGUACAGCCCAGCCCUGUGAGUGCAUUUGUUCAGCUACCAUCUCUUAGCCCUGAGCCUCACCCAUCUUAGCUGCAAGCCUUUGCUACUCUGCUAGUGGGAGCUCCACUUGUUCUGCCUGCCAGGGGCACCCAAAGGACACUGGAACCUAGAGAACAGUUAGGCCAGCUCCCACCUGUGCCAGUCCUGUCCCAGCGUCUCAACACAGGUCCUUGCUGGGAGCAGAGCUGGCUUCUGCCUCCCACACACUUGAGCAGUACCCUUAGCACCCAGCAGCACCCUGCCACUGAGAUCCAGGUCCCAUCACUCCUCUGAGCUUCUUGGCUUUAUUCCCCAGACCUAGAGGUGGGUGCUAAUAACUGCAUCUGGUUUUGACUUUGUUUUUUGAGGCAUACAUAGCCCAGGCUGGUUUUGAACUCUCAGAUCCUCCUGCCUCAUCUUCCUGAGUGCUAGGGGUACAGGUGUGUGCCACCACACUGGCUUUCUCCUGCAUUAUCACUGGGUGCGUUCAUGCCCCCUUAACUUAGUUCCCCGAUACUUGUACAAGCAGACCAUUCCUUAUAUUAAUUUGUUUGGUUAAAUCAAUUGGUUUAGGGCUGGGAUUUAGCUCAGUGGGGUAAGUGCCUGCUUAGCAAGUGCAUGGUUGUGAGUUUGAUCCCCAGUACCCAAAUAAGUAAAUAACUGAAUAAAUAAUUGGCCUAACCUGAGGUAGUGGCAUAUGCCCAUAAUCCCAGCAUUCAAGAUGCGUGGGCAGGAGGAUCUCUGGAAAUUUGGGAUGCACACUGAGUUCAAGGCCAGCCUGAACUACAUAGUGAGGCCCUGAUUCACAAACAGUAAUUGGCAUAGCCCCAAUAAGGUAUAAGUAAUUGCUUUGUCUCAUGUAGACCAAUGGCUACCUAACUAUCAGGAGCGGCCCACCAGGCUGUCUCCAGCAUGGGGUAUCGGGAGAGUGCUGCUGGAGUGUCCCUUACCUGGCUUUAGGUGAGUGGAUACCUGUAAAUGGACUGGCUAGUCAUAGGAUAUGUCUGCAUUUGUUUUUAGCAAAUGCUACCAAAAGUAUUUCCAAAAUAGUUGUAGCGAUAAUUGCAUUGAUUUUAAGGCAUUCCUAGUAUUUCCCACUGAUUCUCAGAACUUUUUAAAUUCAGAAAAAAGUCAAUAAAGUGCACACUAGGGGCUGGAGGUUUAGCUCACCGGCAUAAGUGCCUGCCUUGCAAGCAGGCAGUUGUGAGUUCGAUCCCUGGUACCAAUAAAAAGGAAAAAGACAAAAAGGGGGGGGGGAUAAAUAAAUAAAUAAAGUGCACACUACCAUGAAUUAAUCUGUAGCCCAGAAUCUUUCUUUACGUUGCAGUGCUAAAGAAACCUAAAACUGUGUUGCCUGAGGACAGUUUUUUUUGUUUUGUUUUGUUUUUGUCUUUUUGACACUCACUAUGUAGUUCAGGCUGCCCUAUAGCUCACUUUGUGUCCCAGGCUGGUCUUGAACUCACAGAGAUCCUCCUGCGUCAGCCUCCCAAGUGCUGGGGUAAAGAUCUGUGCUACCACGCCUGGCUCAGGCUUUUCUUUUAUGAAGUACUGCGGUUGUGGGCAGGGCCUUUCUUUCUUCUUUCCUUCCUUCCUUUCUUUCUUUUGUUGGGGAUCCAUCUCAUGAUCUCACACUUGCCAGGCAGGUACUUAUGCCACUGAGCUAUAUCCCCAUUCCUUGAUUUUGCAUUCUUAAUUUCUCCAUCAGUUCUUGGUAAACAGCAAGUACUGUGGAAUUCAUAAAACAAAAGGUGGGCACAGUGGCAUAUAUCUAUAAGCCCAGCUACUCAGAAGGCUAUGGCAGAAGGAUCACAAGGUUAAGGCCAACCGACGCAGCUUGAUGACUUAGUGAAACUCUGUCUCGCAAAUAAAAAUAAAGCCAGGCAUGGAGGUGCACAUCCGUAAUUCCAGCAUUCAGGAGGCUGAGGCAGGAGAACCACUGAAAGUUUGAGGCUAGCUUGGGCUAUAUAAUGAGUUCAAGGCCAGUUUGAACUAUAUAGCAAGACCUUGUUGCAAAAUAAACAAAAUAAAAAGUUUUGGGGGGUUGUAGCUCAGUGGAAAGGCCUGGGUUCCAUCCCCAGUAUUAUAAACAAACAAAUAAAAUCUAUACUUUCUUUUUCUUUCUUUUUUUUUUUUUUUUUGGCGUUUUUCGGGUUUUUAUCGGUACAAGGGAUCGAACUCACAACUGCCUGCUUGCAAGGCAGGUGCUUAUGCCGCUGAGCUAAAUCCCCAGCUCCAAUAUCUAUACUUUCUAAAACAACCUUGUUAUGAGUUUCACAAGUUUAUUUUUUAUAUAAUACAGUACUAGUAGCUAUGCCUUUCUUCUAAUUUUGCAACUAAUACAACUCUUCCUAUUAAGAGUAGUUAGAUCACUAUAGAAAAGAAACUAAGAGGUGGGGCUGGGAAAAAGGAGAGUAAGGGGGUAUAAAAGAUGUGUUCUGUCCAUGUGCUAACCCCCACAAUGAAUAAUUAACUAUGUUCUACAUAAUUGAUUGGUACAAACAUAUACCAAUCAAAAUUUAAUUAUUUUUCUUUUGGUUUUUUUGAGGCAGGGUCUUGCUCACUGUGUAGCUGAGGCUGGCCUCAAACUCCUAGAGAUCCUUCCGUCUCAGCCUCCCGAGCACUGGGAUCACAGGCAUGUGCCAUCACACAUGGCUAAAAAUUUUUAAAUACACAAAAUUAGGAUGUGUUCAUUGAAAAUAUGAUGAAGAAAAGGAGAUACUCAACUAGAAUUCCAGCUAAAUGUAUUUUGAACCGAUGGAUAUGUACAGCAUAUUCUGUGAUGCAUCCCAGGCAGUAAUUGGAGCGGGUGGAAUCUCUUCUCCUGCGCUUUGUCGCCAGCGUGGAAGCACAAUGUUCUGAAGCAUCAUGCAGCGUGAUACAGUAUUUUCUAUUUCGGACUUCUCGGACAUUUCUUCAGUUCUCCUCUUUCCCUCUCCACUUCCUGUCUACCGCUACAUGUAGUGACCUAACACCUGGACAAUCUGGUCAUCCCUAGCUGGGUAUUGCCUUGGCUGUUUACUGCCAGCACCCAGACUAGUAACUCAAGACAACAGCGGUUUAUUAUUUCUCUGACCUCCCUGGGAAGUUCUGGUCUCACCUGGGCUCACUCAUGCUGCCGAAUCCAUCUGCUGGGUCCACCAGGCUGGGAGGACAAGAUGACCACAACCCUACCCCCAGGACGUGGGUGUACAGACAUGGGCCACCCUUCAGCUGGGGCUGAAAUUUCUGGAAGGAGUCACAGCUCCUGCAACCCGACUCCCAAGUUCCGAGGAGAAAAUCGAGUCGACAGUCUUAUAUUUACACACACGCAUACACAGCAUCACUAGAAAUUAGGUAUUUAAACCGUGUAAGAGCAAAUAAACUGAGCACCGUGAAAGCAAAUUUAUCUGCUAAUAGCUCCCGGCAAGCAUUAAAAUCAAUUUAGAGGAGAUAGUGAUGUUGAAAUUGUCCAGAAAAUGAGUUCUGCAGAAAAAUAUAAACAAAAAGGCUCAUAAUGCAUAUUUUCAGUGGGGUAAAGUUUGAAAAAUAGGCCAAUGUCUUCUAAAAAUACAAAUAAAUAGUAUCACAACCAUGGA
Long non-coding RNA from Cavia porcellus (domestic guinea pig), 5826 nucleotides. RefSeq lists it as uncharacterized. The transcript has 2 exons. The record is from RefSeq and is a predicted model, not a curated record. Lineage: Eukaryota; Metazoa; Chordata; Mammalia; Rodentia; Caviidae.